ACAGCAGUAGCCGCGGUAAUACGAAGGGGGCUAGCGUUGCUCGGAAUCACUGGGCGUAAAGGGUGCGUAGGCGGGUCUUUAAGUCAGGGGUGAAAUCCUGGAGCUCAACUCCAGAACUGCCUUUGAUACUGAAGAUCUUGAGUUCGGGAGAGGUGAGUGGAACUGCGAGUGUAGAGGUGAAAUUCGUAGAUAUUCGCAAGAACACCAGUGGCGAAGGCGGCUCACUGGCCCGAUACUGACGCUGAGGCACGAAAGCGUGGGGUGCAAACAGGAUUAGAGACCCCUGUAGUCCCUGUCUCUUAUAC
RNAcentral lists this ribosomal RNA (305 nucleotides) under uncultured bacterium. RNAcentral describes it as "partial 16S ribosomal RNA". It matches the Rfam family "Bacterial small subunit ribosomal RNA", at positions 508 to 807 of the family's 1533-position model. The record is from RNAcentral.